This 158-nucleotide ribosomal RNA is filed under the name Clostridioides difficile. Lineage: Bacteria; Bacillati; Bacillota; Clostridia; Peptostreptococcales; Peptostreptococcaceae. The record is from RNAcentral.
UGGUUACAAUAGCAGAGAGGAUACACCUGUUCCCAUUUCGAACACAGAAGUUAAGCUCCCUAGCGCUGAUGGUACUNUAAGUUCCGACCCGCACGAAAGGCGUAACGAUUUGGGCACUGUCUCAACAACAGACUCGGUGAAAUUGUAAUUCCGGUGAA